UACGUAGGGCGCAAGCGUUGUCCGGAAUUAUUGGGCGUAAAGAGCUCGUAGGCGGUUGGUCGCGUCUGCCGUGAAAACCCAUGGCUCAACUGUGGGCUUGCGGUGGAUACGGGCCGACUUGAGGUAGGUAGGGGAGAACGGAAUUCCCGGUGUAGCGGUGAAAUGCGCAGAUAUCGGGAGGAACACCGGUGGCGAAGGCGGUUCUCUGGGCCUUACCUGACGCUGAGGAGCGAAAGCGUGGGGAG
This 245-nucleotide ribosomal RNA is filed under the name uncultured bacterium. RNAcentral's name for it is "partial 16S ribosomal RNA". It matches the Rfam family "Bacterial small subunit ribosomal RNA", at positions 524 to 768 of the family's 1533-position model. The record is from RNAcentral.